This 434-nucleotide ribosomal RNA is filed under the name uncultured bacterium. RNAcentral's name for it is "bacterial SSU rRNA". It matches the Rfam family "Bacterial small subunit ribosomal RNA", at positions 355 to 786 of the family's 1533-position model. The record is from RNAcentral.
UGAGGAAUAUUGGUCAAUGGGCGGGAGCCUGAACCAGCCAAGCCGCGUGAGGGAGGAAGGCCCUAUGGGUCGUAAACCUCUUUUGUCAGGGAACAAAAGCGAGUAUGUAUACUAGUCUGAGUGUACCUGAAGAAAAACGCAUCGGCUAACUCCGUGCCAGCAGCCGCGGUAAUACGGAGGAUGCGAGCGUUAUCCGGAUUUAUUGGGUUUAAAGGGUGCGUAGGCGGCGGUGCAAGUCAGCGGUAAAAGCCCGGGGCUCAACCCCGACGAGCCGUUGAAACUGCAGUGCUAGAGAAGGCGAGAGGUACGCGGAAUGCGCAGUGUAGCGGUGAAAUGCUUAGAUAUUGCGCAGAACUCCGAUUGCGAAGGCAGCGUACUGGCGCCUGACUGACGCUGAGGCACGAAAGCGUGGGGAUCGAACAGGAUUAGAUACC